RNAcentral lists this ribosomal RNA (253 nucleotides) under uncultured bacterium. RNAcentral describes it as "partial 16S ribosomal RNA". It matches the Rfam family "Bacterial small subunit ribosomal RNA", at positions 524 to 776 of the family's 1533-position model. The record is from RNAcentral.
UACGGAGGGUGCAAACGUUGCUCGGAAUCAUUGGGCGUAAAGCGCACGUAGGCGGCUUGUUAAGUCGGAUGUGAAAGCCCUCGGCUCAACCGAGGAAGUGCAUACGAAACUGGCGAGCUUGAAUAUGGAAGAGGGUCGCGGAAUUCCCGGUGUAGAGGUGAAAUUCGUAGAUAUCGGGAGGAACACCAGUGGCGAAGGCGGUUGCCUGGGGCUUUGCUGACGCUGAGGCGCGAAAGCGUGGGGAGCGAUCCGG